This is a small nuclear RNA of Colobus angolensis palliatus, 186 nucleotides long. Its record names the gene U2. It matches the Rfam family "U2 spliceosomal RNA". From Rfam's summary of the family: U2 is a small nuclear RNA (snRNA) component of the spliceosome (involved in pre-mRNA splicing). NCBI's taxonomy places the organism in Eukaryota, Metazoa, Chordata, Mammalia, Primates, Cercopithecidae. The record is from Ensembl.
AUUGCUUCUCGGUCUUUUGGCUAAGAUCAAGGGUAGUAUCUGUUCCUAUCAGUUUAAAUGUGGUAACAAACUACAGCAGUCUUAUUGGUACCUGUGGCUUAGUCACCAAUAGAAAUCAAGAUAAUUUCAUAUAACAUUAUAGUUACCCCAGAUAUCUCAAAAUAUUUGCCCUGGUAGCUAUUGCAA